CGGACGGGUGAGUAAUGUCUGGGAAACUGCCUGAUGGAGGGGGGUAACUACUGGAAACGGUAGCUAAUACCGCAUAACGUCGCAAGACCAAAGAGGGGGACCUUAGGGCCUCUCGCCAUCGGAUGUGCCCAGAUGGGAUUAGCUAGUAGGUGGGGUAACGGCUCACCUAGGCGACGAUCCCUAGCUGGUCUGAGAGGAUGACCAGCCACACUGGAACUGAGACACGGUCCAG
RNAcentral lists this ribosomal RNA (232 nucleotides) under uncultured bacterium. RNAcentral's name for it is "partial 16S ribosomal RNA". It matches the Rfam family "Bacterial small subunit ribosomal RNA", at positions 99 to 334 of the family's 1533-position model. The record is from RNAcentral.